This 503-nucleotide long non-coding RNA is filed under the name Nicotiana tabacum (common tobacco). RNAcentral describes it as "long non-coding RNA (NTAB_LNC002805)". Lineage: Eukaryota; Viridiplantae; Streptophyta; Magnoliopsida; Solanales; Solanaceae. The record is from RNAcentral.
GAAGAGAUAAUAUAAGAAGGAUAUCCUCAUUCCUCCCUCAUCUCUUUGUGUUAUCCGAACACAGUGCUCUGUGCUUCUCACCAAUGUCUCUAACUUCUCCUCUCCUUCAACUUCCUCUCUCCCAAUUCAAAUCCCUUUCCCUUUCCACCCCUUUCAUUAAUGGCUCCUCUUCUCUUUCCCGUCUAUCUAAACCCUCUUCAUCUAUCACUUCCCCAAACCCUUCUCCCCCAGCUUUCUUGCCUCCAAUUCGAGCCAUGAGAUCAAUGCAAGGCCGUGUCGUCUGCUCCACAAAUGACAAAACUGUUUCAGUGGAGGUUACCCGUCUUGCGCCUCAUCCGAAAUACAAGCGUAGGGUUAGGAAGAAGAAGAAGUACCAAGCUCAUGACCCUUUGAACCAAUUCCAAGUUGGGGAUUUUGUUCAGCUUGAAAAGACUGCUCCCAUUAGCAAGACUAAGGCUUUCCUUGCUGUACCUGUACCUCCGAGAAACCAGCCCAAACCCAAG